GAUCCAGCAUGGCGUAGUGGUUUGAGCAUUGGACUAGGACUCUGGAGACAAGGGUUCGAUUCCCCACUUGACCA
Molecule: non-coding RNA, 74 nt
Organism: Phrynosoma platyrhinos (Desert horned lizard)
Lineage: Eukaryota; Metazoa; Chordata; Lepidosauria; Squamata; Phrynosomatidae
Source: the annotation of a GenBank genome assembly